RNAcentral lists this ribosomal RNA (309 nucleotides) under uncultured soil bacterium. Its description in RNAcentral is "bacterial SSU rRNA". It matches the Rfam family "Bacterial small subunit ribosomal RNA", at positions 26 to 334 of the family's 1533-position model. The record is from RNAcentral.
AGAUUGAACGCUGGCGGCAUGCCUUACACAUGCAAGUCGAACGGCAGCACGGGGGCAACCCUGGUGGCGAGUGGCGAACGGGUGAGUAAUGCAUCGGAACGUGCCCAGUAGUGGGGGGAUAACUAGUCGAAAGAUUAGCUAAUACCGCAUACGACCUAUGGGUGAAAGCGGGGGAUUCGCAAGAACCUCGCGCUAUCGGAGCGGCCGAUGUCUGAUUAGCUAGUUGGCGGGUAAAAGCCCACCAAGGCUUCGAUCAGUAGCUGGUCUGAGAGGACGACCAGCCACACUGGGGACUGAGACACGGCCCAG